UUGUUUUGGCAGCGUAUGUACUAAUAUUGGAAUGGUUCCAAGAAGGGUAGAGUGUCUCCAGUAUAAGGAUGACAUGGAAAUUCAUGGAGUAUCCCACAGUUUU
RNAcentral lists this small nuclear RNA (103 nucleotides) under Mesocricetus auratus (golden hamster). Lineage: Eukaryota; Metazoa; Chordata; Mammalia; Rodentia; Cricetidae. The record is from RNAcentral.